AACUGACUGGUGUGGAAAAAGUGUACGUUUUCGUCUAUCAGUCCGUGAAUAAUAAGAAGUCUAUUUUCUUCGUCGGGAAACUUGCUAACGAUGUUACCGGUGCCCCGGCUAUCGCCAACUAGAAAAAAAUGUCAAAUAUCAAAUGAUUCCAUUGUCACCUA
This 161-nucleotide long non-coding RNA is filed under the name Polistes fuscatus (common paper wasp). RNAcentral's name for it is "uncharacterized LOC122515424". The record is from RNAcentral. Lineage: Eukaryota; Metazoa; Arthropoda; Insecta; Hymenoptera; Vespidae.